Condylura cristata (star-nosed mole) is the source of this 2411-nucleotide RNA transcript. It is a transcript of the gene named zinc finger, MYND-type containing 15, with no coding region annotated. The transcript has 14 exons. The record is from RefSeq and is a predicted model, not a curated record. NCBI's taxonomy places the organism in Eukaryota, Metazoa, Chordata, Mammalia, Eulipotyphla, Talpidae.
UUUACCUUCGAAAAGUGGUGGCGGCUGCAGUCUGGGCCCAGGCCCUGUGCCCCUGAAGACAUGGAGUUUGUGUCUGGAUACCGGGAUGAGUUCCUUGAUUUUGCUGCCCUCCUCUUUGGCUGGUUCCACAAGUUUGUGGCUGACCGUGGAGCUGUGGGAGCCAGCCUUGAGGGCCGCUGGCGACAGCUGGAGACUCAGAUCAGAAGGCUGCCCCAGGACCCUGCCCUCUGGGUGCUCCAUGUCUUGCCCAACCGUAGUGUGGGCAUCAGCCUGGGGCAAGGGGCAGAGCCAGGCCCUGGACCAGGCCUGGAGGCUGCCCGGCUCCUGGGAGAUGAGCCCCCACUCCACCUGCGAGACCUGAGCCCCUAUGUCAGCUUUGUCAGCCUGGAGGAAGGGGAGGAGGAGGAAGAGGAAGAGAAUGGAGGGGAGGUGGGUGCAGGCACAGAGAAGGUAGGACCAGAGGAAAAUGGGGAGCCAGGUCCUACCAGCAAGGAGUCCCCCCAGGAAGCAAAGCCUCCAGGAGAGCCAGAAGAUGGUGAGCAGGAGGCAGGAGGUGGUGAGGAUUGCUGUCGAGAGGACAAGGCAGAAGACGAAAAAGGGCCUGAGAGGAGGAAGGGUCGGAGAAAUGAGGCUGCCCCGCUGCACCUUUCCUGUCUCUUACUGGUGACAGAUGAACAUGGGACCAUCUUAGGCAUCGACCUGCUAAUGGACGGAGCCCAGGGGAGUGCAGGCAGAGGCUCAGGGACAGAGAACCUGGCUCCCCGAGCCUACAUUCUCCUUUGCCACAGCAUGGCCUGCCCCAUGGGCUCUGGAGACCCCCGAAAGCCCCGGCAGCUGACUGUGGGAGACGCCCAGCUGCAUCGAGAGCUGGAGAGUCUGGUCCCCAGGUUAGGAGUGAAGUUAGCCAAGACUCCAAUGCGGACAUGGGGCCCCCGACCAGGUUUCACCUUUGCCUCCCUUCGGGCUCGAACCUGCCAUGUUUGUCACAGGCACAGCUUUGAAGUGAAGCUGACACCCUGUCCCCAGUGUAGUGCUGUCUUAUACUGUGGAGAGGCUUGUCUCCGGGCUGACUGGCGCCGAUGCCCAGAUGAUGUGAGCCAUCGAUUUUGGUGCCCAAGGCUUGCAGCCUUUAUGGAGCGGGCAGGAGAACUGGCAACUCUGCCUUUUACCUACACUGCAGAGGUGACCAGUGAAACCUUUAACAAGGAGGCCUUCCUGGCCUCAAGGGGCCUCACACGUGGCUACUGGACCCAGCUCAGCAUGCUGAUCCCAGGCCCUGGUACCCCCAGGCACCCUCGGGGCAGCAUACCAUCCCUCAGCUUUCUUCUCAGUGGAGAUCCCUACCAGCUUCUCCAAGGGGAUGGGCCUGCCCUGAUGCCUCCUGUGCCCUCAGAUCCACCCAGGGGCCUCUUUGGCUCUUGGCAGGAUUACUACACAUGGCGGGGCCUCAGCUUGGACUCCCCCAUGGCUGUGCUUCUGACCUACCCACUGACUGUGUACUACGUCAUCACUCACCUGGUGCCCCAGUCCUUCCCCGAGCUCAACAUCCAGAACAAACAAUCGCUGAAAAUCCAUGUGGUGGAAGCUGGGAAGGAGUUUGACCUUGUCAUGGUAUUUUGGGAGCUGUUGGUCUUGCUCCCCCACGUGGCCCUGGAGUUGCAGUUUGUGGGUGAUGGCCUGCCCCCAGAAAGUGACCAGCAGCAUUUCACCUUGCAGAGGGAUGGCCCUGAAGUGUCUGUCCGCUCAGGCAUAUCAGCACGGCUCAGCUCAGGAACUAAGGAGAAGGGCAGUCGCAGGGACUUGCAGAUCAAAGUGUCUGCACGGCCUUAUCACCUGCUCCAGGGGCCCAAGCCCGACUUGGUUAUUGUUCUCCGUGCUCUCCCUCCUUGGCAGGAUUUAACUCUGGCUUUGGUCUCAAGGACACUUGGCUGAGCUCGCUGCCCCGCCUACAGUCCCUCCGCGUGCCCGCCUUCUUCACCGAGAGCAGCGAGUACGGCUGUGUGAUGGACGACCAGACCAUGGCGGUGGCUACCGGCGGGGGCACCAGCCCUCCACAGCCCAACCCUUUCCGCUCCCCAUUUCGCCUCAGAGCCACCGACAACUGCAUGCCCUGGUACUGCAAUGCCUUCAUCUUCCACCUGGUCUACAAGCCUCCGCAAGGGAGCGGGGCCCGCCAGGCGCCCGGGCCGGCGCCCCCAGCCCCAACUCCCGCCGCUCCUCCGGCCCCCGCCAGACGGCGCCGCGGAGAAAAGAAACCUGGGCGGGGGUCCCGCCGGCGGAGAUGAGGGACAAGCUAUAGCAGGGCACCCCUCUCCCUACACACCUCAGAAAGGGAAACGAAACACCCACCGCCAAGGGGGAGACCGGUUGAUGGAACACGAAAAGGUAAAUAAAAUGACUGUUCGAAACCA